Molecule: long non-coding RNA, 1552 nt
Organism: Oxyura jamaicensis (ruddy duck)
Lineage: Eukaryota; Metazoa; Chordata; Aves; Anseriformes; Anatidae
Exons: 2
Source: RefSeq, a predicted model, not a curated record
CUCUCCUGUGCGCUUUAAAAAGGAAAAAAGAACAAUCCAACGCAAUACUUCGGUCCUGUUUCCAGAGCGCCACUGCCAAGCUAACAAUUUCACUGAAUUAGGGGGAAUUUCCUCAAACAUUCGCUUGAGCUACAUUAAGUGUAACAUGUGGGAGACAACUGUGUUUCCUGGAGAAGAAAGGAAAGCUGUCUCACUCAGUGGAGACUGCCUAACGUCUAGCAGGAGAAAAACAACCAGCCAUGACAAGAAAAUGUUUUUUAAAACUUGGCACAGGAAUAGGAUUUUAUUUAUUUUGAACGCCUUUUCCAGUCUGGCCAACGUAGCGUGUGGAGGGAGGGGUGGCGGAGGGAAGCCGGUGUUUCAGCUAGGGCCCGCGGCUCGGAGUCAGGAGGUCUGGGCUCUAUUUCUGGCUCUGCCGCGGCCCCUUCCUGUGAGGCUCAGGUGAAGCCCUCAGAGAGAGCAUUCCGCAAGGAAGCUGGCCAUGAGCAUAGGGGUUUUAUCACAGAUAGUUAAAAGCACACUGUGCACAAUUUUGGCACGGCCAGUGAUCAGCACCAGCACUUCGUCUCUGUGUGGCUCUCCUGUCCAUGGGUCAGCUCUCAGCACGGUUGGGAAGUCCCUGGGUGAAGCCCAUGAAAAGAGUACAAAAACACCCCACCAGGCACUGGCUGGUGGCUCUGCUGUCCUCAGCGGUGAACUUCUGAUGCAACUUCCAGCCACAGGAAAGAGCAUCUCAUCCAAAGGGCGGACUCGCCUCCAAGCUGCAUACCAGCAUAACUGGAAGAGGGGAUCUGGCUCUACUGCUGCAUGCCUGCGACCAGAGCAACCAUUCCCACCUCCAGGAUGGGCAAAGGCAGGGGCAACCAGCAGCACUUUGUCUGGGCGGCACCGACAGCGCUCUUUGGGAAAGCAGGAGAGGAUUAACAACAGUGACAAAACAACCAUAGCUGUCUAAAGGAGAAACUGAUAAGCUGGGGAUUUUCCUGUCUGCUGACCCACCCUUUGAUAAGCACAACUAAUAACCUCCCCGUGAGUUAGUAGAGAUUCUUUUCAGCCUUGUCUCUUGUCUGUAAGCAUCCCUCCCAUGGCUGUGGCUCCUGUGGCUGUAGUGACAUCCGUAGCUGUGAGGGAUAUCUUGCCAGGUCACUGAUGAGUAAGGACAGAGAAUGUUUGCAGAACAGUGAGGUGAAAGGGGAUGAGAAUAAUCCACAGUGUACGUAAGGAAAGGAUUGCAAAAAUCUAAAAGGGGAGGAGGAAGAUGCAAGACUUGGAGGGAGAGAAGUGAAUAUCCUCAGGGAGGCAAAGGCUAAAGAAAAUAAAACACCAGGCAGGGAGAACUGGGUUGGAGAGAAGAGCAAGGGAGAACUGAGAAGCUGGAGCAAAGAAAUUGAGGAGGAUGGUGGCCAGGAAUGAGUGGGAAUGGCCAGGGAGAAAAGAGAGAAGUAGGUAAAACCACUGCGAAUAGAAAAGGAGCGUGACAAUGAGCAGGAGAAGACAAGUCUUUUGAGAAGAGGGAAUGUGAACCAAGAGAGGAAAGAAUGAUAUGAAGAUU